AAGUCGUAACAAGGUUUCCGUAGGUGAACCUGCGGAAGGAUCAUUAAUGAAUUAUCUGACGGGGUUGUCGCUGGCCUACCAAGGCAUGUGCACGCUCUGAUCAUAUUCAUCCAUUCUUCACCCCUGUGCACUCUUCAUAGGUUGGCUUAUUCUAAAGGAUCAUCUUCGGGUGGUCUGGGCCUUUCUAUGCCAUUUAUUAUAAACAUAAUGUCUUUGAAUGUCUUAUUGCGAAUAUAACGCAUUGAAAUAUAACUUUCAGCAACGGAUCUCUUGGCUCUC
Molecule: unclassified non-coding RNA, 279 nt
Filed under: Hyphoderma sp.
Lineage: Eukaryota; Fungi; Basidiomycota; Agaricomycetes; Polyporales; Hyphodermataceae
Description: partial internal transcribed spacer region
Rfam family: Eukaryotic small subunit ribosomal RNA (bases 1-46)
Source: RNAcentral